RNAcentral lists this unclassified non-coding RNA (276 nucleotides) under uncultured fungus. RNAcentral's name for it is "partial contains 5.8S ribosomal RNA, internal transcribed spacer 2, and large subunit ribosomal RNA". The stretch from base 1 to 52 matches the Rfam family "5.8S ribosomal RNA", at positions 103 to 154 of the family's 154-position model. Lineage: Eukaryota; Fungi. The record is from RNAcentral. RNAcentral also lists the same sequence under 1 other name.
AACGCACCUUGCGCUCCUUGGUAUUCCGAGGAGCAUGCCUGUUUGAGUGUCAUUAAUAUAUAUAUCAACCCCUCUUUGUUGAGUGGCUUGGAUGUGGGGGUUGCUGGCCAGGUUCAGCUCUCCUGAAAUGCAUUAGCAGAACAACCUGUUCAUUCAUUGGUGUGAUAACUAUCUACGCUAUUGAAUGUGAGGUGGAUCAGCUUCUUAACAGUCCUUCUUGGACAAUUCAUCAUUUAAUGUGACCUCAAAUCAGGUAGGACUACCCGCUGAACUUAA